UAGGGAAUCUUCCGCAAUGGACGCAAGUCUGACGGAGCAACGCCGCGUGAGUGAAGAAGGAUUUCGGUUCGUAAAACUCUGUUGUUAGAGAAGAACAGCGCAUAGAGUAACUGUUAUGCGUGUGACGGUAUCUAACCAGAAAGCCACGGCUAACUACGUGCCAGCAGCCGCGGUAAUACGUAGGUGGCAAGCGUUGUCCGGAUUUAUUGGGCGUAAAGCGAGCGCAGGCGGUUAGAUAAGUCUGAAGUUAAAGGCAGUGGCUCAACCUUUGUAGGCUUUGGAAACUGUUUAACUUGAGUGCAGAAGGGGAGAGUGGAAUUCCAUGUGUAGCGGUGAAAUGCGUAGAUAUAUGGAGGAACACCGGUGGCGAAAGCGGCUAUCUGGUCUGUAACUGACGCUGAGGCUCGAAAGCGUGGGGAGCGAACAGG
Molecule: ribosomal RNA, 428 nt
Filed under: Bacteroidota bacterium
Lineage: Bacteria; Pseudomonadati; Bacteroidota
Description: Bacteroidetes bacterium partial 16S ribosomal RNA
Rfam family: Bacterial small subunit ribosomal RNA
Source: RNAcentral